CGGUCUAGUAAAUGCCUGGGUAAAUCGUGCCGCUUAACGGUACGAAUUCCGGGUAGACUGUUAGACUUGAGACCGGGAGAGGUUAGAGGUACUCCUGGGGUAGAGGUGAAAUUCUGUAAUCCUAGGGGGACCACCAGUGGCGAAGGCGUCUAACCAGAACGGGUCUGACGGUGAGGGACGAAGCCCUGGGGCGCAAACCGGAUUAGAUACCCGGGUAGUCCAGGGUGUAAACGCUGCUUGCUUGAUGUUAGUCGGGCUCCGAGCCCGAUUAGUGUCGGAGUGAAGAGGUUAAGCAAGCUGCCUGGGAA
RNAcentral lists this ribosomal RNA (308 nucleotides) under uncultured archaeon. Its description in RNAcentral is "bacterial SSU rRNA". It matches the Rfam family "Archaeal small subunit ribosomal RNA", at positions 526 to 834 of the family's 1478-position model. The record is from RNAcentral.